GUGGGGAAUAUUCCGCAAUGGACGAAAGUCUGACGGAGCAACGCCGCGUGAGGGAAGAAGGUUUUCGGAUCGUAAACCUCUGUCCUUAGUGAAGAGAAAGAGACGGUAGCUAAGGAGGAAGCCCCGGCUAACUACGUGCCAGCAGCCGCGGUAAUACGUAGGGGGCGAGCGUUGUCCGGAAUGAUUGGGCGUAAAGGGCGCGUAGGCGGCCUGUUAAGUCCGGAGUGAAAUUCCUGCUUUCAAGGUAGGAAGUGCUUUGGAAACUGGCGGGCUGGAGUGCAGGAGAGGUUAGCGGAAUUCCCGGUGUAGCGGUGAAAUGCGUAGAGAUCGGGAGGAACACCAGUGGCGAAGGCGGCUAACUGGACUGUAACUGACGCUGAGGCGCGAAAGUGUGGGGAGCAAACAGGAUUAGAAACCCCUGUAGUCC
Molecule: ribosomal RNA, 427 nt
Filed under: uncultured bacterium
Lineage: Bacteria
Description: partial 16S ribosomal RNA
Rfam family: Bacterial small subunit ribosomal RNA
Source: RNAcentral